Molecule: long non-coding RNA, 2593 nt
Organism: Oncorhynchus kisutch (coho salmon)
Lineage: Eukaryota; Metazoa; Chordata; Actinopteri; Salmoniformes; Salmonidae
Exons: 3
Source: RefSeq, a predicted model, not a curated record
GGAGAAGUCUUCCACGUAGCUGUACAUGGGAUACAUGAGGGCGUCUCUGAUGUUGGAGUGGUCCAGACCCAGGGCAUGACCAAACUCGUGGGCCGCAACCAGGAACAGACUGUAGCCUGAGAGAGGAGAGGGUCCCCUUCAAAGGUCUGGUAGGAGCGUAUAUCAGGGACCCCACAGCGAGGUGCCUUCAUUGCUGCUACCGUAGACUUGUCCAGCGUCCCUGUCUCCUCCAACCCCAUCUGCCUCUGCAUUCUCAUCAGAGCCUUGGAGGUGGACACCAUAGACUGGAAACCACUGCGGUGCUGAACGUUCAUGUAGCCAAACCUCUUCAGGUAGCUCUGGAGCUCCAUAUCCGUCAUGUUCUUGAGGACAUCUCCAGGGAAGGUGACAGACACAGUUUUCUCCAGGGGAACGCACCAUCCACCUACCGUGCACAUUGCCAACACUAGGAAAACCAGAACUCUAUGGUGAGAUCUCAUGGUGAGACCAAGGUAAGAUGAAAGUUGCCCAAAGUAAUAGAGAAGAUACGAUGUGAUGUGCCAGACAGCCAAUGAAGAGACUCUCAGUGACAGUAACAAAGCUUGCAGUGGAUCACUGUUCCUUGAAGUUUAGUGGAUAGGAUGUUCUCCUUUGGUGCUUUGUGCUUUGGGUUCAGUAUUUAUGCUCUCAGGCUUAGUCACCCUCGUAACCUCCACCCCCUUUCUCUCUCUCUCUCUCUCUCUCUCUCUCUCUCUCUCUCUCUCUCUCUCUCUCUCUCUCUGUCUGUCUGUCUAUCUCCCAGUCAUUACCCCUCCCUAUGGGAGUGAGCAUUAUGUUAUUGUUCAGGGGGUUUCCAAAAUGUAGUAAUCUACAAAUGUAUCCCAAUAUCUAACUUUUUUUGUUCCGUUUUGACAUGUACAAGGAUCACAGGAGAUUGGUGUAACCUUAAUUAGGGAGGACGGGGGCUCGUGGUAAUGACUGGAGCGGAAAUAAGUGGAAUGAUAUCAAAUACAUCAAACACAUGGUUUCCAUGAGUUCGAUGCCGUUGCAUUCGCUCUGUUCCAGCCAUUAUUAUGAGCUGUCCUCCCGUCACCAGCCUCCACUGACGAGGAUAACAUACACAGUUGAAUAAUUAUGUUUUGGCUUUUAUUCUUGUCAAAGCCAAGUCUAGGACAAAAAGGCUUCUCAACAGUUUUUACCCCCAAGCCAUAAGACUCCUGAACAGGUAAUCAAAUGGUUACCCGGACUAUUUGCAUUGUGUGCCCCCCUCACCCCCCCAAUCCCUCUUUUUUACGCUGCUGCUACUCUCUGUCUCAAUAAUGCAUAGUCACUUUAACCAUAUCUACAUGUACAUACUACCUCAAUCAGCCUGACUAACCGGUGUCUGUAUGUAGCCUCGCUACAUUUAUAGCCUGUCUACUGUAUAUAGCAUGUCUUUUUACUGUUGUUUUAUUUCUUUACCUACCUAUUGUUCACCUAACACCUUUUUUUGCACUAUUGGUUAGAGCCUGUAAGUAAGCAUUUCACUGUAAGACUGUACACCUGUUGUAUUCAGCGCCCGUGACAGAUAAACUUUGAUUUGAUUUGAACAGGGUAUGCCGUAAUGUCCCAGAAAUCCAUUGUUUUCAUUUCCUGUACGAGGUUUAUGGGAAAAGCACCUGCUGACAUGUUUAUUCAAUGGUCAUAUUCAUCUGUGAGGUUUAACCAGAGGAGGUUGUGUAACUGUGACACAUGUGGAAGAUACAUGUAAAAUACAUACAUGUAAAAUGUAAAAUAAUACACACACUUCUGUUAUCUAAAAUAAUACACACACUUCUGUUAUCUAAAAUAAUACACACACUUCUGUUAUCUAAAAUAAUACAUUGUAGCCUCAAAAAAAAAAAAAUUGUCUUUAAAUAAAGAUUGCUUCCGCUUUUCUAUUUUCAGACUUGGAAAACUGUGGCUGACUUGGUCAAGCUAUAACUACUGCACUGUCUAAGAUAUACAGGUGUAGCCUAGUGGUUAGAGUGUUGGACUAGUAACCGAAGGGUUGCAUGUUCAAAUCUCUGAGCUGACAAGUUAAAAAAAUCUGUUGUUCUGCCCCUGAACAAGGCAGUUAACCCACUGGUUCCCUGAACAAGGCAGUUAACCCACUGGUCCCCUGAACAAGGCAGUUAACCCACUGGUCCCCUGAACAAGGCAGUUAACCCACUGGUCCCCUGAACAAGGCAGUUAACCCACUGGUCCCCUGAACAAGGCAGUUAACCCACUGGUCCCCUGAACAAGGCAGUUAACCCACUGGUCCCCUGAACAAGGCAGUUAACCCACUGGUCCCCUGAACAAGGCAGUUAACCCACUGGUCCCCUGAACAAGGCAGUUAACCCACUGGUCCCCUGAACAAGGCAGUUAACCCACUGUUCCUCGGCCAUCAUUGAAAAUAAGAAUUUGUUUAUAGCUGACAUGUCUAGUGAAAUAAAGUUAAGAAAUAACAUUCUCUGUCUUUCCCCACAGAUCAAUGAGGUAACGGUCAUCAUGAUAUGACUGAAAGUUGACAUUGAACUAAAUACAAAUGAUACAAACGUCCUAAAUUGUUACAGAAAGUCUAUAAUACACAAAUAAAAUGCUUCUAACAACA